RNAcentral lists this ribosomal RNA (253 nucleotides) under uncultured bacterium. Its description in RNAcentral is "partial 16S ribosomal RNA". It matches the Rfam family "Bacterial small subunit ribosomal RNA", at positions 524 to 776 of the family's 1533-position model. The record is from RNAcentral.
GACGGAGGAUGCAAGCGUUAUCCGGAAUGAUUGGGCGUAAAGCGUCCGCAGGUGGCAGUUCAAGUCUGCUGUCAAAGACCGGGGCUUAACUUCGGAAAGGCAGUGGAAACUGAACAGCUAGAGUAUGGUAGGGGCAGAGGGAAUUCCUGGUGUAGCGGUGAAAUGCGCAGAUAUCAGGAAGAACACCCGUGGCUAAGGCGGCUCUCUAGUACGGUACUGACGCUGAGACGCGAAAGUGUGGGGAGCGAACAGG